UACGAAGGGGGCUAGCGUUGUUCGGAUUUACUGGGCGUAAAGCGCACGUAGGCGGAUCGAUCAGUCAGGGGUGAAAUCCCAGAGCUCAACUCUGGAACUGCCUUUGAUACUGGAAAGCUCGAGUCCGGGAGAGGUGAGUGGAACUGCGAGUGUAGAGGUGAAAUUCGUAGAUAUUCGCAAGAACACCAGUGGCGAAGGCGGCUCACUGGCCCGGUACUGACGCUGAGGUGCGAAAGCGUGGGGAGCAAACAGG
RNAcentral lists this ribosomal RNA (253 nucleotides) under uncultured bacterium. RNAcentral's name for it is "partial 16S ribosomal RNA". It matches the Rfam family "Bacterial small subunit ribosomal RNA", at positions 524 to 776 of the family's 1533-position model. The record is from RNAcentral.